GAUGAAGAACGUAGUGAAAUGCGAUAAGUAAUGUGAAUUGCAGAAUUCAGUGAAUCAUCGAAUCUUUGAACGCAUCUUGCGCUCCUUGGUAUUCUGAGGAGCAUGCCUGUUUGAGUGUCAUCAAAUUCUCAACCACUUCUUUUGAUGUGGCUUUGGAUAUGGGGGGAUUUCUUUUUUGCAGGCUUCUGAAAAACAAAGUCGGCUCCCCUGAAAUGUAUUAGUGGUGUCUGAGCAGGAGACUACUAUGGGUGUGAUAAAUCUAUCUAUGCCUUGGUACAACUGCUAUGCCGCUUCUAGCGAGUGCAUUUGACAAAUUUGACCUCAAAUCAGGUAGGACUACCCGCUGAACUUAAGCAUAUCAAUAAGCGGAGGA
RNAcentral lists this unclassified non-coding RNA (373 nucleotides) under soil metagenome. RNAcentral's name for it is "partial contains 5.8S ribosomal RNA, internal transcribed spacer 2, and large subunit ribosomal RNA". The stretch from base 1 to 120 matches the Rfam family "5.8S ribosomal RNA", at positions 35 to 154 of the family's 154-position model. The record is from RNAcentral.